UACGGGGGGGGGCAAGCGUUGUUCGGAUUUACUGGGCGUAAAGGGCGCGUAGGCGGCGUGACAAGUCACUUGUGAAAUCUCCGGGCUUAACUCGGAACGGCCAAGUGAUACUGUCGUGCUAGAGUGCAGAAGGGGCAAUCGGAAUUCUUUGGUGUAGCGGUGAAAUGCGUAGAUAUCAAGAGGAACACCUGAGGUGAAGACGGGUUGCUGGGCUGACACUGACGCUGAGGCGCGAAAGCUAGGGGGAGCAAACGGGG
Molecule: ribosomal RNA, 257 nt
Filed under: uncultured bacterium
Lineage: Bacteria
Description: partial 16S ribosomal RNA
Rfam family: Bacterial small subunit ribosomal RNA
Source: RNAcentral